UUUUUUUUUAACAGCCGAUGACGACGAAGUGAAAGACGAAGAACUUUGUUUGAUCGAUCUUACAAAGUUGGAAGAUGAUUAUCGAGAGGAUUCGCCGGAAGAGACCAACGCGAUCCCUUUAACCCAAUCGCAGUCUGAUUUUCCGUUUACAUCUCCUGCUCGCUGGUCUCCCUUAACGCUGGCGGGUCCGUCAACGGCCAUUCCAGGCAGAGGAGAAGGCUUGAUUGCGCCAAAGACUCCAGACAUCGAAUCCUUGCUCCGAGGGGAAAUCAUCGAAAACGA
This is a long non-coding RNA of Nerophis ophidion (straightnose pipefish), 282 nucleotides long. RefSeq lists it as uncharacterized. The record is from RefSeq and is a predicted model, not a curated record. The transcript is spliced from 3 exons. NCBI's taxonomy places the organism in Eukaryota, Metazoa, Chordata, Actinopteri, Syngnathiformes, Syngnathidae.